This is a non-coding RNA of Picea glauca (white spruce), 134 nucleotides long. The record is from Rfam. NCBI's taxonomy places the organism in Eukaryota, Viridiplantae, Streptophyta, Pinopsida, Pinales, Pinaceae.
GGGUGUGAUCAUACUAGCAUUAGUGUACUGGAUCCUAUCAGAACUCCGCAGUUAAGCGCUCCGUAGUUAAGCACGCUUGGGCUAGAGUAGUACUGGGGUGGGUGACCUCCCAGGAAGUCCUAGUGUUGCACCCU